This 129-nucleotide ribosomal RNA is filed under the name Fusobacterium necrophorum. Its description in RNAcentral is "partial 23S ribosomal RNA". It matches the Rfam family "Bacterial large subunit ribosomal RNA", at positions 2783 to 2925 of the family's 2925-position model. Lineage: Bacteria; Fusobacteriati; Fusobacteriota; Fusobacteriia; Fusobacteriales; Fusobacteriaceae. The record is from RNAcentral.
AAGCGGGAAACUAGCUUCAAGAUAAGUAUUCUACGAGGAAGCUUCGAGAACAGGAGCUAGAUAGGUUGGGGGUGUACGCGCAGUAAUGUGUUUAGCUGACCAAUACUAAUCGAACGAAAUUUUAAUCAG